GACAGAGGGUGCAAACGUUGUUCGGAAUUACUGGGCGUAAAGCGCGCGUAGGCGGAUCUGCAAGUCGGGGGUGAAAUCCCGAGGCUCAACCUCGGAACUGCCUUCGAUACUGCGGGUCUCGAGUCCGGGAGAGGUGAGUGGAAUUCCUAGUGUAGAGGUGAAAUUCGUAGAUAUUAGGAAGAACACCAGUGGCGAAGGCGGCUCACUGGCCCGGUACUGACGCUGAGGUGCGAAAGCGUGGGGAGCAAACAGG
RNAcentral lists this ribosomal RNA (253 nucleotides) under uncultured bacterium. Its description in RNAcentral is "partial 16S ribosomal RNA". It matches the Rfam family "Bacterial small subunit ribosomal RNA", at positions 524 to 776 of the family's 1533-position model. The record is from RNAcentral.